AACGAACGCUGGCGGCAUGCCUAACACAUGCAAGUCGAACGAGACCCCUGACUUCGGUUGGCGGGUCUAGUGGCGCACGGGUGCGUAACGCGUGGGAAUCUGCCCUUGGGUUCGGAAUAACUCAGAGAAAUUUGAGCUAAUACCGGAUGAUGACGAAAGUCCAAAGAUUUAUCGCCCAGGGAUGAGCCCGCGUAAGAUUAGCUUGUUGGUGGGGUAAUGGCCUACCAAGGCGACGAUCUUUAGCUGGUCUGAGAGGAUGAUCAGCCACACUGGAACUGAGACACGGUCCAGACUCCUACGGGAGGCAGCAGUGAGGAAUAUUGCGCAAUGGGGGCAACCCUGACGCAGCAACGCCGCGUGAGUGAGGAAGGUUUUCGGACCGUAAAGCUCUGUCGAGCGGGAAGAAAUGCAUGGUGGCUAAUAUCCAUGAUACUUGACGGUACCGCUAAAGGAAGCACCGGCUAACUCCGUGCCAGCAGCCGCGGUAAA
RNAcentral lists this ribosomal RNA (489 nucleotides) under uncultured bacterium. Its description in RNAcentral is "bacterial SSU rRNA". It matches the Rfam family "Bacterial small subunit ribosomal RNA", at positions 29 to 524 of the family's 1533-position model. The record is from RNAcentral.